RNAcentral lists this ribosomal RNA (449 nucleotides) under uncultured bacterium. RNAcentral's name for it is "bacterial SSU rRNA". It matches the Rfam family "Bacterial small subunit ribosomal RNA", at positions 29 to 524 of the family's 1533-position model. The record is from RNAcentral.
AACGAACGCUGGCGGCAGGCUUAACACAUGCAAGUCGAACGCACCGCAAGGUGAGUGGCAGACGGGUGAGUAACGCGUGGGAAUCUACCCAGCCCUUCGGAAUAGCUCCGGGAAACUGGAAUUAAUACCGAGUACGCCCUACGGGGGAAAGAUUUAUCGGGGUUGGAUGAGCCCGCGUUGGAUUAGCUAGUUGGUGGGGUAAUGGCCUACCAAGGCGACGAUCCAUAGCUGGUCUGAGAGGAUGAUCAGCCACACUGGGACUGAGACACGGCCCAGACUCCUACGGGAGGCAGCAGUGGGGAAUAUUGGACAAUGGGCGAAAGCCUGAUCCAGCCAUGCCGCGUGAGUGAUGAAGGCCUUAGGGGUUGUAAAGCUCUUUCAGUGGGGAAGAUAAUGACGGUACCCACAGAAGAAGCCCCGGCUAACUUCGUGCCAGCAGCCGCGGUAAU